GACAGAUUAUAGAUAUAUAAUCACAAUAGAAUUUCUAUAAAAUUUUAUAUCAAAAGAAAAAUCCUACAUAUAUAUAUAUAACUCGUUUAAGCCUUUGCCAAAAUCUAAUAACAAAGCUAUUUAGUAAUCCCAUAAACUAUGGCUAGUUAUUUUAUUUAUAAUCAUUAAUUUUAUUGUUGUGAAUUGUGAUGAAAAUAGUGCUUCUAAAUUUUAAUAUUCAACUAACUUAUAUCUAAAUCUAUUAUUUUCUUUAUACAGAAUUAUCAACUUUCAAAAGUUUGGAGAUUUUGAAUUUAAUGGUAAAUGAAUUUACUGGAAGU
RNAcentral lists this unclassified non-coding RNA (320 nucleotides) under Hevea brasiliensis (rubber tree). The record is from RNAcentral. Lineage: Eukaryota; Viridiplantae; Streptophyta; Magnoliopsida; Malpighiales; Euphorbiaceae.